RNAcentral lists this long non-coding RNA (226 nucleotides) under Elaeis guineensis (African oil palm). Its description in RNAcentral is "long non-coding RNA (EGUI_LNC054405)". The record is from RNAcentral. Lineage: Eukaryota; Viridiplantae; Streptophyta; Magnoliopsida; Arecales; Arecaceae.
AGCCAAUUAGCAAUCAAAUUGCUAAUCGAUCCUCUUGCAACACUUGCACUAGGUUAAAUGUCAAUCAUAUUGAUCGUUUAACCCUAGAAUGAUUCUUAAUCAUUGAUCAACCAUCCGAUCGGAUCAUGAACUCUAAUGUGUAUGACCUCAUAGGUCCAAAUCUAAGUCAGUAGCACAAAACUAAAUUUUUAUAUCAAUUAAAGUGAUCAUUUAGCAAUGGUACCCG